Molecule: ribosomal RNA, 495 nt
Filed under: uncultured bacterium
Lineage: Bacteria
Description: partial 16S ribosomal RNA
Rfam family: Bacterial small subunit ribosomal RNA
Source: RNAcentral
GACGAACGCUGGCGGCGUGCCUAAUACAUGCAAGUAGAACGCUGAAGGAGGAGCUUGCUUCUCUGGAUGAGUUGCGAACGGGUGAGUAACGCGUAGGUAACCUGCCUGGUAGCGGGGGAUAACUAUUGGAAACGAUAGCUAAUACCGCAUAAUAGUAGAUGUUGCAUGACAUUUGCUUAAAAGGUGCAAUUGCAUCACUACCAGAUGGACCUGCGUUGUAUUAGCUAGUUGGUGGGGUAACGGCUCACCAAGGCGACGAUACAUAGCCGACCUGAGAGGGUGAUCGGCCACACUGGGACUGAGACACGGCCCAGACGCCUACGGGAGGCAGCAGUAGGGAAUCUUCGGCAAUGGACGGAAGUCUGACCGAGCAACGCCGCGUGAGGGAAGAAGGGUUUCGGAUCGUAAAGCUCUGUUGUAAGAGAAGAACGAGUGUGAGAGUGGAAAGUUCACACUGUGACGGUAUCUUACCAGAAAGGGACGGCUAACUACGUG